AUUGAACGCUGGCGGAAUGCUUUACACAUGCAAGUCGAGCGGCAGCACGGGGGCAACCCUGGUGGCGAGCGGCGAACGGGUGAGUAACACAUCGGAACAUGCCCAGUCGUGGGGGAUAACACUUCGAAAGAAGUGCUAAUACCGCAUACGUCCUGAGGGAGAAAGCGGGGGAUCGCAAGACCUCGCGCGAUUGGAGUGGCCGAUGUCAGAUUAGCUAGUUGGUGGGGUAAAGGCCUACCAAGGCAACGAUCUGUAGCUGGUCUGAGAGGAUGAUCAGCCACACUGGGACUGAGACACGGCCCAGACUCCUACGGGAGGCAGCAGUGGGGAAUUUUGGACAAUGGGGGCAACCCUGAUCCAGCCAUUCCGCGUGAGUGAAGAAGGCCUUCGGGUUGUAAAGCUCUUUCGGCAGGAACGAAACGGUGAGCUCUAACAUAGCUUGCUAAUGACGGUACCUGAAGAAGAAGCACCGGCUAACUACGUG
Molecule: ribosomal RNA, 484 nt
Filed under: uncultured bacterium
Lineage: Bacteria
Description: partial 16S ribosomal RNA
Rfam family: Bacterial small subunit ribosomal RNA
Source: RNAcentral